This is an unclassified non-coding RNA of Pongo abelii (Sumatran orangutan), 148 nucleotides long. It matches the Rfam family "Metazoan signal recognition particle RNA". Rfam says of the family: The signal recognition particle (SRP) is a universally conserved ribonucleoprotein. The record is from Ensembl. NCBI's taxonomy places the organism in Eukaryota, Metazoa, Chordata, Mammalia, Primates, Hominidae.
GCUGGGUGUGGUGGUGCGCACCUGUAAUCCCAGCUACUCGGGAGGCUGAGACAGGAGAAUUGCUUGAACCCAGGAGGCAGAGGUUGCAGUGAGCUGAGAUCACACCACUGCACUCCAGCCUGGGUGACAGAGCGAGAUUCUGUCUGAA